This 119-nucleotide ribosomal RNA is filed under the name Pelobates cultripes (western spadefoot toad). The record is from RNAcentral. Lineage: Eukaryota; Metazoa; Chordata; Amphibia; Anura; Pelobatidae.
GCCUACGGCCAUACCAGUCUGAAAGUGCCCGAUCUCUUCAGUUCUCAGAAGUCAUGCAGACUUGGGCCUGCUUAGUACUUGUAUGGGAGACCAACUAGGAACCUCAGGUGCCGUAAGCU